Molecule: small nucleolar RNA, 108 nt
Organism: Humulus lupulus (European hop)
Lineage: Eukaryota; Viridiplantae; Streptophyta; Magnoliopsida; Rosales; Cannabaceae
Source: RefSeq, a predicted model, not a curated record
AUACCAUGACGUGGGCAGUUCCUUAACAAUUCUUUAAAUAUUUCCCAUGCAUCAUAUAACAAUUCCCCUUCCGCCUGGUAGAAAUUAUUAAUUUUCCCUCUUAACUUU